GUGUCAGCAGCCGCGGUAAAACCAGCACCUCAAGUGGUCAGGAUGAUUAUUGGGCCUAAAGCAUCCGUAGCCGGCUCUGUAAGUUUUCGGUUAAAUCUAUGCGCUCAACGUAUGGGCUGCCGAAAAUACUGCAGAGAUAGGGAGUGGGAGAGGUAGACGGUACUCGGUAGGAAGGGGUAAAAUCCUUUGAUCUAUCGAUGACCACCUGUGGCGAAGGCGGUCUACCAGAACACGUUCGACGGUGAGGGAUGAAAGCUGGGGGAGCAAACCGGAUUAGAUACCCGGGUAGUCCCAGCUGUAAACGAUGCAGACUCGAUGAUGCAUUGGCAUAUAGCCAGUGCAGUGUCGCAGGGAAGCCGUUAAGUCUGCCGCCUGGGAAGUACGUACGCAAGUAUGAAACUUAAAGGAAUUGGCGGGGGAGCACCACAAGGGGUGAAGCCUGCGGUUCAAUUGGAGUCAACGCCAGAAAUCUUACCCGGAGAGACAGCAGAAUGAAGGUCAAGCUGAAGACUUUACCAGACAAGCUGAGAGGUGGUGCAUGGCCGUCGCCAGCUCGUGCCGUGAGAUGUCCUGUUAAGUCAGGUAACGAGCGAGAUCCCUGCCACUAGUUGCUAUCAUUAUUCUCAGGAAUAGUGGGGCGAAUUAGUGGGACUGCCGUUGUUAAAACGGAGGAAGGAAGGGGCUACGGCAGGUCAGUAUGCCCCGAAACUCUGGGGCCACACGCGGGCUGCAAUGGUAGCGACAAUGAGUUCCAAACUCGAAAGAGUGUGGCAAUCCCUAAACGCUACCACAGUUAUGACUGAGGGCUGUAACUCGCCCUCACGAAUAUGGAAUCCCUAGUAACCGCGUGUCAUUACCGCGCGGUGAAUACGUCCCUGCUCCUUGCACACACCGCCCGUC
Molecule: ribosomal RNA, 900 nt
Filed under: uncultured archaeon
Lineage: Archaea
Description: bacterial SSU rRNA
Rfam family: Archaeal small subunit ribosomal RNA
Source: RNAcentral